This is a long non-coding RNA of Mauremys reevesii (Reeves's turtle), 259 nucleotides long. RefSeq lists it as uncharacterized. The transcript is spliced from 3 exons. Lineage: Eukaryota; Metazoa; Chordata; Testudines; Geoemydidae. The record is from RefSeq and is a predicted model, not a curated record.
ACCCUCCCCAGACAUCGGUCCCUUGGCGGCACAGGGUGCGGGGCAUCGUCACUGCUGUCCUUCUCCUCCUGGGUCUGGCCCUGGCCACGUCCCUCCUUGCUGUGAUGCUUCUAUAUCUCCGGGCACAGAGCAAGCUGCAAGCGGUUGAAGAAGCGGUGCAGAAACUCCAAGUCUCUCUGCAGCCUGACAACGCCUCAGACGCGUCAGCAAAGGGUUCGGACACUCUGCAGCUAUUGGAUGAAGCGCAGGCAGGAGUCCG